Molecule: long non-coding RNA, 2990 nt
Filed under: Triticum aestivum (bread wheat)
Lineage: Eukaryota; Viridiplantae; Streptophyta; Magnoliopsida; Poales; Poaceae
Description: long non-coding RNA (TAES_LNC021060)
Source: RNAcentral
AAACUUCUGCAUAUGGUAUUUUUUACAAAAAUUCCAACAAAAGAUAUUCUAUUUGCAGACAUGGAUUAGGACAUAUGAAUGAAAUUUGUUUCAAAAACAUACCUAGCGCUGAAAGAAGCCAAUCAUGUACUAACCUUCAUCUAUGUAUUUAUUGGGAUGACAGAAGCAACAAUAGCGAGGACCCUAUAUUAGAGCACCUAAGGAGAUGUGGCGUUAUGAGAUCAUCACAUUGACUUCAUAUAACUAUAGAAUAUAACUUUAAUACUGAACUGAGACUCAACAAUCAGUGCACUGUCAAUAGUAUCCCUAUCCUAUACAUGCUAGAAGCUGCAAGGAGUAGCCAUCCCUGUACUGGAUGCACCUAAGAGGAUGUGCUGUUAUGAGACCAUGACAUUGACUUUGGAUAAAUAUAGGACAUAACUUAAAUUGACACUUAACACUCAACAAUCAGCGCACAGUCAAGAUUGUCCUUAUGCACAAUAGAACCUGUAAAAGAGUAUCCAUCCCCCUAGAUCGCCGGCAAAAUUUCCCAGUUUCUUAUCUGUAUAUGCAUCUUUUAGUACAUGGAAAAAAAGAAACUACGUUAAAUAUUGCCAACUAACAACACUAAAAUGACCAGCCCGUUAAAGGCCUCCACUAAAAUGUUCGUCUCAUUUACUUCUUUCAUUUUUGCAACUAUAUAAAAAUAUCUCAGAACCGCUUAACAAAAGGGAAAGUAGUGGCUGCAUCCACUUUCGGUGCACCCACGAUGCACCCACGCAAGAAAACAUAUGAAAACAUUUCAAAAAAUAUGAAACUUCGUGAAAAUGAUGAUCAACACAUGUUAUGAGGGCGUGCAAAGUUUGGUGGUCAAAUAACAUUCGAGAAGCGCCCUACAAAAAAGAAAAAAAUGCAAAAUCUGCUCAAACAGUGCACAUACAUUUUGACUAAUUUUCAAUGAUUUUGUCUUUUUUGUAGAGAGCUCCUCGAAUGUUAUUUGGCCACCAAAUUUUGCAAGCCCCCAUAACAUUUGUUGAUGAUCAUUUUCACGAAGUUUUAGAUUUUUUCGAAAUGUUUUGAUAUGUUUUCUUGCGUGGGUGCACCGAGAGUGGGUGUAGAAGAACCACUCUCUUAACAAAAUUAAAGCAGUUUACUUAUUCCAUUUUGCAGGCCUCGGCUUACAUGCUUUUUCCUAGGCUUCCAUGUCUGAAAGGUAGCACGCUUCUAUAAUCAUCGAGGAGCUAUAAAUUAUAAACAUAUAGGUGUAUGGCAGUGCUAGGGUAGAUAUUAUCGAAUCCAAGCUCUGUAAAUUGUAAAUUAACAUAAAACCAAACAAUGUGCAUGAUAGGCACAUGUCUCCAUUAACUGAAGCACACAGUUUCAAGUCAGGCUCGCACAUUACCAAAAAAACAUUUGAAAGGAAGAAAUCACACAUCACACAAAGAUUUUAGGAAGAAACAUAAGGUGAAACAACCUUGUUCCACUCACACAUAAUGUCUGACACACAACCUCCAGUAAUCUCACCAACACAUGCAUCUACUCAGACCACAAUACCCCAUACCUAACUUCAAUACACCACUUUUCUAUCUGAACACAUAAAUGAGUUUGAAGACAGAGGUGUUGGGCUGAAUAAAUUUACAGUAUAGAUACCCAGUGUUUCCGAUCUGCAACUUGGGUGCUCAUUAGAAUCCGCACACCAUUUUACUCUAGUUGUACUAUUAAAAUUGCACAGAAGUGGCUUUAGUUCCAUGUUAACGCCUUGAAGAAAUUUGAAUGAGAUUGACUGUCGUGCUUAUUGCAUCCUCUGUAGAUUUAUUCAUGAAGUGGAUAGUGCUAUCGUCUUUUUCAUUUGCAAUAGAAUUGAUAUGCAACUGUCUAUAUUUCAUUUUAUGUGAUUUUGCAAAUUGGAAGUGCAUGCUAUGAGAUAAAACACGCAGUAAGUACAAUAUAACUGGAGUGCUGACUGCUAAGUGGAUUCAUAACUCAUAAGUCAUACCAUGUGUCUCCACUUCCGAGCCAAUAAGUCCAAAUGAUGUCAGCAAGAAAUUUACAAAAUCCAAAUGCUAUUGGAUCCAGAAAGCGUAUUCUUGACAUAUGAAAUUACAUCUCUUUAUGAGAGAAAUAAUUACGCUAGAAAUCAAAAUAAAUUCGAACGGAAUCAUGGGUGUCCUGUAGCAAACAAACAAAUUAAGAGUAGAUCCAGAUAUACUUACUACCAUCAGGCCCAGCCGUUGCUUGCUACACACCGAGCCUCCAUCGCAGUGCUUAACGCCUUUCCCUCUCUUGGCAAUCACACCGGCCCUCACCGGAAUUUGAGCGAGCAGAACGCCUAGAAGGCAUCACCAAUAGAGGAGAAGCAGCAACCCCAGGGAAGCCCGUGAUGGCAUGAAGGGGAUUAGGUAAAGGAGGGCACCGAGGAGAAGAUGGAGAGGGAUCGCCGCAAAAAGAGGACGGCGACGCGGAAGUAGCAGCGGCGCAGCAGAUGGGGAUUUGUUUUCUAUCGAGAAAAUCAGGAAAGUUAUCUACUUGCCUGAGGCUGUCCGAUCUGAUUCAAAUUGUAUUCAACGUGCCUCCUUUUGCACUGGAUCUUCCAACGUGAAUUGCAUUUUGCUCGGGGCAUAGAAGUUGACAGGAUUGAAUGACCUCCUCAUCAACCAGCAUGGAUUGCAUCGUCAUUGGGAGUUGGGGUAUUGGAGAUUCAACAUGGAAAGAAUUGGAGAUUCAACAUGGAAGGAAUUGGAGAUUCAACAUGGAAGGAGACUGGAAAGAGGUUGGUUGGAUUUCUUUAGAUGAUUGUUGCACGAAGACUGCAAAUUAGAGAGAAGAGAGAGGACCGGAUAUGAGGAGCAGCAAUGUUAUGUUCUUCGGUCGGCAAGAUUGGCGAAGGAAGAAAUCUGCAAGUAUAAUCUUUUUUUCUAAAAGAGGAGCACGUGGGAGAGUAGUCUAGGACUCCUAGUGUACCUUGUUUUAGGUAAGGUACCUCAUUUUUUCCUAAAAAAAGAGCAUGUGGG